GACGAACGCUGGCGGCGUGCUUAACACAUGCAAGUCGAACGGAAAGGCCCUGCUUUUGUGGGGUGCUCGAGUGGCGAACGGGUGAGUAACACGUGAGUAACCUGCCCUUGACUUUGGGAUAACUUCAGGAAACUGGGGCUAAUACCGGAUAUGAGCUCCUGCUGCAUGGUGGGGGUUGGAAAGUUUCGGCGGUUGGGGAUGGACUCGCGGCUUAUCAGCUUGUUGGUGGGGUAGUGGCUUACCAAGGCUUUGACGGGUAGCCGGCCUGAGAGGGUGACCGGCCACAUUGGGACUGAGAUACGGCCAAGAAUCCUAAGGAAGGCAGCAGUGGGGAAUAGUGCACAAUGGGCGGAAGCCUGAUGCAGCAACGCCGCGUGCGGGAUGACGGCCUUCGGGUUGUAAACCGCUUUCGCCUGUGACGAAGCGUGAGUGACGGUAAUGGGUAAAGAAGCACCGGCUAACUACGUG
Molecule: ribosomal RNA, 468 nt
Filed under: uncultured bacterium
Lineage: Bacteria
Description: partial 16S ribosomal RNA
Rfam family: Bacterial small subunit ribosomal RNA
Source: RNAcentral